UUAUGGCCAUAUCAAGCUGAAACCCAAGUUCCCAUAUGAUCACUGAAGUUAAGCAACGUUGAGCCUGGUCAGUACCUAAAUGGGUGACUGCUUGGGAAUACCAGGUGCUGUGA
Acanthosepion pharaonis is the source of this 113-nucleotide non-coding RNA. NCBI's taxonomy places the organism in Eukaryota, Metazoa, Mollusca, Cephalopoda, Sepiida, Sepiidae. The record is from the annotation of a GenBank genome assembly.